GACGAACGCUGGCGGCGUGCUUAACACAUGCAAGUCGAACGGAAAGGCCCUGCUUUUGUGGGGUGCUCGAGUGGCGAACGGGUGAGUAACACGUGAGUAACCUGCCCUUGACUUUGGGAUAACUUCAGGAAACUGGGGCUAAUACCGGAUAGGAGCUCCUGCUGCAUGGUGGGGGUUGGAAAGUUUCGGCGGGUGGGGAGGGACUCGCGGCUUAUCAGCUUGUUGGGGGGGUAGUGGCUUACCCAGCCUUUGCCGGCGCCCCGGCCUGCGGGGGUCACCGGCCACAUUGGGACGGAGAUACGGCCCAGACUCCUACGGGAGGCAGCAGUGGGGAAUAUUGCACAAUGGGCGGAAGCCUGAUGCAGCAACGCCGCGUGCGGGAUGACGGCCUUCGGGUUGUAAACCGCUUUCGCCUGUGACGAAGCGUGAGUGACGGUAAUGGGUAAAGAAGCACCGGCUAACUACGUG
This 468-nucleotide ribosomal RNA is filed under the name uncultured bacterium. RNAcentral describes it as "partial 16S ribosomal RNA". It matches the Rfam family "Bacterial small subunit ribosomal RNA", at positions 28 to 507 of the family's 1533-position model. The record is from RNAcentral.